Molecule: ribosomal RNA, 253 nt
Filed under: uncultured bacterium
Lineage: Bacteria
Description: partial 16S ribosomal RNA
Rfam family: Bacterial small subunit ribosomal RNA
Source: RNAcentral
UACGAAGGGGGCAAGCGUUGUUCGGAUUUACUGGGCGUAAAGGGCGCGCAGGCGGCUCUUCAAGUCAGAUGUGAAAGCCCCGGGCUCAACCUGGGAACUGCAUUUGAGACUGAAGAACUCGAGUUCGGGAGAGGAUGGCGGAAUUCCCAGUGUAGAGGUGAAAUUCGUAGAUAUUGGGAAGAACACCGGUGGCGAAGGCGGCCAUCUGGACCGAGACUGACGCUGAGGCGCGAAAGCUAGGGGAGCAAACGGG